RNAcentral lists this ribosomal RNA (432 nucleotides) under uncultured bacterium. RNAcentral's name for it is "partial 16S ribosomal RNA". It matches the Rfam family "Bacterial small subunit ribosomal RNA", at positions 29 to 507 of the family's 1533-position model. The record is from RNAcentral.
AACGAACGCUGGCGGCAUGCCUAACACAUGCAAGUCGAACGAGACCUUCGGGUCUAGUGGCGCACGGGUGCGUAACGCGUGGGAAUCUGCCCUUGGGUUCGGAAUAACAGUUGGAAACGACUGCUAAUACCGGAUGAUGACGUAAGUCCAAAGAUUUAUCGCCCAGGGAUGAGCCCGCGUAGGAUUAGCUAGUUGGUGGGGUAAAGGCCUACCAAGGCGACGAUCCUUAGCUGGUCUGAGAGGAUGAUCAGCCACACUGGGACUGAGACACGGCCCAGACUCCUCGGGAGGCAGGAGGUGGGAAUAAUGGACCAUGGGCGAAAGGCCUAACCCGCCAAGGCGGGGUAGUUAAUGAGGGCCUUGGGUUUGUAAACCUCUUUACCCGGGAUGAUAAUGACAGUACCGGGAGAAUAAGCCCCGGCUAACUCCGUG